Myotis myotis is the source of this 990-nucleotide long non-coding RNA. RefSeq lists it as uncharacterized. The record is from RefSeq and is a predicted model, not a curated record. The transcript is spliced from 3 exons. NCBI's taxonomy places the organism in Eukaryota, Metazoa, Chordata, Mammalia, Chiroptera, Vespertilionidae.
GACGGCCAGAGAUGGAGAGACUGGCAGAGCCAGGAACACCGGACACAUAGACGCACACGCACAGACCACAAGUACACAGAAGCGCACGCUGAGGGCCAGGAACAGGGCUCCAGCCCAGGCCACACCAGGGAGCUGUCCUGUCCAGGAACAAGGACCAGGGGCAGAAGUUCCCCAGAAAGACAUCUGGGUCCCUGAGAGACGGGGCCUUCUGAUGAGCAAAGGGCCAGAAUGUCUGGAAGGGUGAAUGCCCUAACCCUGGGCAGCAGAGAGGACCACGCCCAGAGGAUGCUGCGGUGGAAACCUGAGCAGGUACCACGUCCACCAGGCACAGGAAGCAGCUCCCUGUGGAGUGGGGGACACGGCCACUGUGGCACCAAGGCCCCUGAUGGGCAGAGCAGAAACCUGAAGGGGCCCGUCCACGUCUGCCUCCCCCACGGCCACACACAGUUCUGCCCCUUCCUUGCCAAGUCUCCUUCCCACCCCCCUUCCCCCUGCAGCUUUGUGCCAGCCAGACCGAGCUUGUGACCUCAGUCUACCUGCUCCGACUUGCUGCUGGCCAGGCAUUCCCUCUCUCUCCACCUGUCUUGUUUCUCUAGCCCUCUCCCCGGGUGCAUUCUCCCUCACCUUGGCUUAAGUCCUUUCUGCCUCCACCUUGUCAUCUCACUCUCCCUCGCCUCUCAAUGUAUCCUUGUGACCCUCACACAGGGCAGUGUGUGGGAAGCCGCCUAUUGUCUUCUCUAGCAGAGAGUGUAGACAAGGAGCCCAGAAUGCUGGUGACCCUCGAGCCCUGGCAAAGGUCAGAACUAUGCACCCACAAUGGAAGCUGAAGCAAUUUCCCCACCAGAUAGUCACGUAAAUCCUUACUGAUAAGAUAGUCUGUCUGUUACUGGAACUUGCCUGUCUAAGGGCUAUGGAUGGAUCCCAAACUGAAUAAAAGGAUGGCGAGGCCUGCGCACAAGCGGAGUCCAUCCUCUUGGGAUGGGCUCUCAC